RNAcentral lists this ribosomal RNA (164 nucleotides) under uncultured bacterium. Its description in RNAcentral is "partial 16S ribosomal RNA". It matches the Rfam family "Bacterial small subunit ribosomal RNA", at positions 355 to 511 of the family's 1533-position model. The record is from RNAcentral.
UAGGGAAUCUUCCACAAUGGACGCAAGUCUGAUGGAGCAACGCCGCGUGAGUGAAGAAGGGUUUCGGCUCGUAAAGCUCUGUUGUUAAAGAAGAACACGUAUGAGAGUAACUGUUCAUACGUUGACGGUAUUUAACCAGAAAGUCACGGCUAACUACGUGCCCG